RNAcentral lists this long non-coding RNA (317 nucleotides) under Serinus canaria (Common canary). Its description in RNAcentral is "lncRNA (ENSSCAG00000013833.1)". Lineage: Eukaryota; Metazoa; Chordata; Aves; Passeriformes; Fringillidae. The record is from RNAcentral.
GAAAAAGCUAAUACUGGACUAGCUUAAACCAUGGCUCUAAAUCAAAAAGAUUUUUACCCCUGCUACAGUAGGAAAUGGAGACAUUCAACAUUCCUAAACAGAAAGGCCUUUUACAGAUUAUAGACCUGCACUCUGAGAUGGAAAAACUUGAAAAUACCAGAGCCUUCUUCUCUUCUGACUUAUGAUUUCACAUUUAAAUGAAAACUCUGCAUAGAGAUUCCAGAGAGAUACGUAGUUAUCAACUACUGGGCUGUGUUUCCUUUAGAAGAUGUGUCACUAAUGAAGGUGGAAAGGUCAGUACACAGCAAAAGGCCAUU